RNAcentral lists this ribosomal RNA (484 nucleotides) under uncultured bacterium. Its description in RNAcentral is "partial 16S ribosomal RNA". It matches the Rfam family "Bacterial small subunit ribosomal RNA", at positions 30 to 507 of the family's 1533-position model. The record is from RNAcentral.
AUUGAACGCUGGCGGCAGGCCUAACACAUGCAAGUCGAGCGGAUGAAGGGAGCUUGCUCCUGGAUUCAGCGGCGGACGGGUGAGUAAUGCCUAGGAAUCUGCCUGGCAGUGGGGGAUAACGUCCGGAAACGGGCGCUAAUACCGCAUACGUCCUGAGGGAGAAAGUGGGGGAUCUUCGGACCUCACGCUAUCAGAUGAGCCUAGGUCGGAUUAGCUAGUUGGUGGGGUAAAGGCCUACCAAGGCGACGAUCCGUAACUGGUCUGAGAGGAUGAUCAGUCACACUGGAACUGAGACACGGUCCAGACUCCUACGGGAGGCAGCAGUGGGGAAUAUUGGACAAUGGGCGAAAGCCUGAUCCAGCCAUGCCGCGUGUGUGAAGAAGGUCUUCGGAUUGUAAAGCACUUUAAGUUGGGAGGAAGGGCAGUAAGUUAAUACCUUGCUGUUUUGACGUUACCAACAGAGUAAGCACCGGCUAACUUCGUG